AUAUACAAAUGAUAAUUCAUCCCAUGUAACCUUUUCUCAAGUGUUUAUCAUGUCUCCCCCUCAUGUUAGUAAAGCUAACUUGUUUCCUCAACAUUGGGAAAUCUUCUUUGUGUAUUAUUAUGUCAAUAUAUACAGCACAUUAAUAACAAGAUGAAAUUAUUUGGUUCCUGACCCUGAACCACAUGUGAGGGGAGAAUAUACUCUCGUAUACAACGUAUAUCAAACUGAUAUAUAUAACUUUGUUCUCAUAAGAAACAGUUUAGCUAUUAAGUGGNNNN
RNAcentral lists this long non-coding RNA (278 nucleotides) under Nicotiana benthamiana. Its description in RNAcentral is "long non-coding RNA (NBEN_LNC029309)". Lineage: Eukaryota; Viridiplantae; Streptophyta; Magnoliopsida; Solanales; Solanaceae. The record is from RNAcentral.